CAGUCGCCGCGGGAAUACGGAGGGUGCAAGCGUUAAUCGGAAUUACUGGGCGUAAAGCGCACGCAGGCGGUCUGACAAGUCAGAUGUGAAAUCCCCGGGCUUAACCUGGGAACUGCAUUUGAAACUGUCGGGCUGGAGUCUUGUAGAGGGGGGUAGAAUUCCAGGUGUAGCGGUGAAAUGCGUAGAGAUCUGGAGGAAUACCGGUGGCGAAGGCGGCCCCCUGGACAAAGACUGACGCUCAGGUGCGAAAGCGUGGGGAGCAAACAGGAUUAGAUACCCCGGUAGUCCCUGUCUCUUAUAC
This 301-nucleotide ribosomal RNA is filed under the name uncultured bacterium. RNAcentral's name for it is "partial 16S ribosomal RNA". It matches the Rfam family "Bacterial small subunit ribosomal RNA", at positions 509 to 807 of the family's 1533-position model. The record is from RNAcentral.